RNAcentral lists this small RNA (28 nucleotides) under Bombyx mori (domestic silkworm). RNAcentral's name for it is "ovarian small RNA-33512". The record is from RNAcentral. Lineage: Eukaryota; Metazoa; Arthropoda; Insecta; Lepidoptera; Bombycidae.
UGCAGGAAUAUGCGCCUUCAAGUUGUGC